RNAcentral lists this ribosomal RNA (253 nucleotides) under uncultured bacterium. RNAcentral describes it as "partial 16S ribosomal RNA". It matches the Rfam family "Bacterial small subunit ribosomal RNA", at positions 524 to 776 of the family's 1533-position model. The record is from RNAcentral.
UACGUAGGGGGCAAGCGUUGUCCGGAAUCAUUGGGCGUAAAGCGCGUGUAGGCGGCCAGAUAGGUCUGCUGUGAAAACUCGAGGCUCAACCUCGAGCUGUCGGCGGAAACCAUUUGGCUAGAGUCCGGAAGAGGAGAGUGGAAUUCCCGGUGUAGCGGUGAAAUGCGCAGAUAUCGGGAAGAACACCUGUGGCGAAGGCGGCUCUCUGGGACGGUACUGACGCUGGGACGCGAAAGCGUGGGGAGCAAACAGG